AUAGGAGAAAGUUAAAAGUGAAUCACGUAGUUGGUUUAAAGUCAUUUGUACGACUUCGUCACGACAUGCGAGAUUCCAUCACUGGCCAGGAGCCCGGACCAGUAGACCUCUGCAGAGGGACUCACUGUCGGCAGGUGAUGGGAUCUUGGGUACAUCUUAAAGCCAGCGAGAAUUGGGCGGCGAUGGACGCCUUACGCAGUCAGCCCACUCCCGAUGGUACUCAGCAGAGUGAGCCAGAG
Magnolia sinica is the source of this 239-nucleotide long non-coding RNA. RefSeq lists it as uncharacterized. The record is from RefSeq and is a predicted model, not a curated record. The transcript is spliced from 3 exons. NCBI's taxonomy places the organism in Eukaryota, Viridiplantae, Streptophyta, Magnoliopsida, Magnoliales, Magnoliaceae.